GCGUCUGAAGUAGCCUUGACUCGGAGGCGACGCUCUAGCAGGCGGCCCAUCUGCCUCUGUGUUGAUGGAGAUGAUUUUCCUGCACAAAGUUGCUCUCAUCAUCAAAGAAGCAGCAAGAAAAUCCUGUGAACUUUGAAAAUCCUGCCAGCCUCCUGCUACUUCUUGCCGCGAGGGAAGAAGUGCGAGUGUGGAGAGAUGCACAAAGAUUCCUGCCCACUCACCGCAGAUGGGAUUUUAUUUGAUUUCAUUCGAUGCAAGAUAAAAGACACUGAGACCCAAACAGUGAAGUGGAGGAACUCAGGGUCUGAAGAGAGGCAGUGACAAGAGAUGCUCCUGUAACUUAGGUGACCUAUCUCCUGGUUAGCCCUGCGACUGAAGAAUGGCCCAGGACCAGCGGCAUCGAUGAAACCCGUGUCAAUGCUGGGAACCAUGAUGAGGUUAAUGUGUGCUUGGCCAGAGGACUCCCAAAUCCUGACCUUCUCAGCCAUCCCUCUCUACACGGUCCUGUUGACUGACAAAGCAAAACUUCAGUGCUGACUAGGUCCCUGAUCCCUAAACCCAGUGCAAUCUCUGGCAGGGCAAUGCUCAGGAAGCUGCCUAUAAAGAAAGCCAAGACAAACUGAACUCUGUUUAAAAACGAGGGAAGUGGAGAAGGAAGACAAAAAAAAAAGAGGAGGACAAGGUGUUUUAACUUUCUGGAUUGGUACUUUAUUUUAGACGUAUGGUUUUAUGUAUUUUUUGUAACAUCCCAAAGAGCACAGCAAUGAAGGACAGAAGCCCUGGUAUCUGAUUCCUUGGGUGUGAAGGUUGGUUCUUCAAUCUCUAUGCUGUCUGAUUUUGGUCAAAUUACUCUAACAUCUUUCUUCCCUACUUCUCUCUUCUAUAAAAUGGGUAUCUUAAUUGCACCUAGCUCAUGGUGGGUGGUGAAUUUUCAUCAGCUUACUUCAUAUAUAAAGCACAGAGGAUGAUGGCUAGAAUAUACCAAGCACUCAAGGAGACAGUAUCAAUGUCAUAGAUAUACUAAUCUAUUCCUUUGUGAUUUCUCACAUGGCUUUUAUGCUCACAAGUCUACAUCCACAGAAAAACUAAAAUGUAUUCCCUUAUACAUUGUUUUAUUUUCCUCAUUAUUUAAUUACUUAUUCACUUUUUAUGUUUAACUCUUUAAUUCACAAAAAUUUAUUUCAGUAUAUGGUAAGAGGUAUGCUAACUUGAUUUCUCCCUAAAGUAUUAAGUGUUCCCCCUUGUCAAUUAAUCCACCUUAUCUCAUUGGUUUGUAUAGUCCCUUUAUCAUUUACCAAGUUUUUACAUACACUUGGAUCUACUUUUAGAUUAACCAUUCUAUCCUGCUGUUCGGCCCUUUGAUUUCUAUCCUAGCGCCAUACUGCAAAAAUGAGUAUAGUUUUACUGUUUACUAGGUCAUUUCUGAUCUCAUCAUUUCUGUUUUCAGCUAUGAAGUAGUCCAGGUGAUUAUAUAAACCAUUUUAAUGUUAAAAAUAUAAUUGGGGUUUUGAGUAGGAUUAUACCCUUUCUAAAUUGAUUUAGGGGGAUCAGACACUUUUGAACUAUUUUGUUUCUUCAUUUACAAAAUCUUUUAUAUCUCUCUAAAGAUUUUAGUUUUUUCACAAAGCCUUCCACGUAUUUCUUAAUAUGAUUAGCAGGUAACAUUUUGUUACUAGCUGUGAAAAGAAUUUUUUCCCCUGGUACAAUGAGAAGCAGGAGGGAACAUGUUAUGGUCACCUUCCGCACCUUAACCUGAGUUUUUUCUUUCACAGAAUCUCUGUGUAUAUACUUUUUUGUAAUAUAUUUAUCUGAAUCAGGAACUACUUGCCAAACAUCAUGUAAACGUGCAAUAAGAAUACUGUUUCUAAAAGUCAUGUUUCCUAUUAAUUCAACACAUUUUCAUGGUGUCUCAACUAUACCCAUUCUUCCUUGCAGACAGAAAUGGUCUCUUGGAGAGCUGACAUUAGAGAACUGAUUUCAUCACAGCUUGAUAAGUAUUAGGGCGAAUGGCUGGGGUCAAUAUGAGGGUUUACUCUGGGGUCUGAAAUCCUAUGAACACAGCAGGUGAUCUCUAGGAAGUGACUCUGAGCUGAGUUCUGAGAGAUGAACAAAAAUUAACUAGGCAACCUUUGGAUGCUUCGGACAAAGAAGUGGGCCAAAGUGCAGGAUGUUCAAGGAAUUAAGAUAGGACUUCUGUGGCUGUAACACAGAAAUGUGGAGAGAGGUGGGAAGUAAACUGAGAUAAGUCCGUGAGAUAUACUACACACACACGUAUAUAAUGGUAAUACCAUAGCUAUAUCUAUAUCUACUCUCUCAGAAAUCAGGAUUGCUCCCAUGGUUAUAGCGCCACAGUCCUUGAGAAAACAGCUCCGUGACAUUUAAUGUUCUUUAGCCUGGAGGGAGGAGAAUUUAGCUCUUCUCCAAGAUUUCCCAGCAGAGUUUGUUAUCCUAAUCAAAGCUAGGCCAGGCUGGUAUCUGCCGUGAGAUGGAAAGGUAUCCGAGGCAUUAGUGACUUAUGGUCCUGUUUGCAGUUCUCUUGUUAGUGCUUUUAUGAGCAAACCUCAGCCUAUUUUGUAAAAGUAGGUUUUUUGUGGAGCAAUCAUACAGCCCCUUCUGUGAAACUUCAAACUGGUAAAUGCCAAACAGGUUUAUGGAAGGUUGAAUCAAAAAAAAAAAAUCUGAAAGACACAGCACAUCCUCUAACUGAUCCAAGAGUAUGAGGUAGUAUUUCUCAAUUUUGGCACUAUUGACACUUGGGACCACGUAAUUCUUUAUCUUGGGGGCUGUCCUGUGCCUUGUAGGGUGUCUAGCAGCAACAUCCUGGCCACUACCCACCAAGUGCCAGUAGGACUGUCCUCCAAUUGUGACACCCAAACAGCCUCUGACGGGCAGAAUCACCCAGGUUAAGAAUCACUCAGUUGCAGAGGCCAUAAAAGUACUGUUCUUCUCAUUUAAAACUGUUAUACUCAUUUUUGCUUUGCCAUGAAUUCUCUUAGACACUGUAACAUUUAACAAAUGAGAUUCAGAUUUAUCACAAAGCACUGUCAUGUAUAUCUUUUAGUCACUUAUUUCAGCCAAGAUUUAUUAAACAUCUGUUUUGUGUAGGCACUACACUGGUUGCUAGAGCCACAAGGUCAAAUGAGAUAACCUUGCAAGGAGCCUAGUCUUCAGGGAAGACAAAAAUAAGUGAGUACAUCAUAGGCGCCUGAUAGAAAUGUGGCAGAAGUCUACGGAGGCUUGAGAAGAAAGGUCAGAAACCCAGGUGAGGGGUGGAGCUGUCUGGGAAUGAUAAGACUCAGAAGUGGAACCUGACACAUGGUGUUUUUCAGACUGAUGGAUUUGGGAGAUGGUUGGAGAGCUGUAAGACUUGCAACAAUAUUCUGAGACAUUUAUUAUGAUCCUCUCUGUUUUAAGCAUGAGAAUACUGCAAAGUUAAACAUUUAGCUUAGGGUCACUUAGCUAGGUCGCAACAUUAACCUAUGAAUUUAACUAUUCCCUGGAUUAACAGUGUUUGCCUUUUCCAACUGGAUACAAUGGAAUAAGAGAGAUUCUGGGAAUAUUCUUGACAAACAGUCCUCUUAAAACAAAACAAAAUUGUAAGGACAAAAAUAAUACUCUCUUAUAUUAAUAUAUAUUUCACAAGGCACAUUCACAGACAUUAUCUCUUAUGAUCCUUCCACCAAUCCUGCCAGUUCCACGGUAGGCAUGCAUAUCAACUUUGCUUUAUAGGGAGGAAGUACACUCAGGGGGUUUAGGUACAGAACUCACAAAGCACGCUGCCUUUCUCAGCACGAACACACAGGUCCCAUGGGGCAAUGGACUGCUUCGUUGUAUUUUAGCUUGUCAUUAUAUUUUAGCACCAGGAUACUGCCAUCAUUUUGCUAUCCUUGAUAGCAGUUCAAUUUUUGCACUUACAGCUGAAAUUACAGUGUCUCAAAGCUAAAUUUAAAAGAGCAAUUUACUGCUGUCCCUAUGAAGAAAGAGAACCAAUCAAUGUAAUAAAAAAAAAUUAAGAUCAUUCUGUACUUUGUAUAGUUGCUGUUGCAGAGGGAACAGUGAACUGCCUGUCAUUAUGGAAUAUUUAGAAAGCACAACAGUGCUUGGCCUGAAGUAGGUGCUCAAGAAAUGCAUGUUAGGAGGACAGACAGCUGGAAAAGUGAACGGAUGGAUGAGAAGGCAGAUGGAAGGAUGGCUGCUUCCAGGAAUGAGAUGGUGACCUGCUCUCAACACCAUGACCUAUAUCGUCUACCUCCAUUUUCUGUUAGGAACAAGCUCUUUGUCACUGGCUUCCAUGGGGUCUCUAAUCCCAGUUCUUGUCUAAAAGAAGAAUAAGAACAGGUGAAAAAAAUAUUGCAAUUGUGGGGGAACAAAAUUGUCACCACAAAAUAUCUCUUUGGCAUGUGGAUCAUGUCAAGCUGAAAACAAGCCCCAAAAGACUCAGAAAGAAACCUGGACCUUCCCCCAAACGCCUAAAGAGUGUGGAUGGAGGACCUGUUCCAGGAAGGGAGCCAUCACCAUAGACAAGUACAGAAUGAAGUAUCCAGACAAGGAGGAACCUGUUGAAAUUCCUCUGUGUCCCCCUUCUGUGAAUGGCCCAGCGACUAUCUGCUUUCCAAACACUUGCUUUCGCAACUUGUCAACUGCCUCCUCCUUUGAAGUCCCAAAUAACUCCCCUUUAUGUUCUCUUUUGUCUUUAGCUGAAGAUAAUAUUUAAAGUGACCAGUCUCAGCCAUUUGGGUGAGUUACUCAGUUUUUGUAAGUUUCUCCCAUGAACACAUGGUAUUCAGUAUUUAUUUGACUUUUCCUCUUAAUCCAUUGCACACCAAUUUAAUUCUCAAACCAGCUAGAAGAAUCUAAGAGGGCAGAGAUACGUUUCUUCCUCCCCAACAAAAUCAAAGGCAGCCUUUUAGUUUGGAAAUCUCCUUCCUAAAGGUCAGGGGUUCAGGACCCACUGUGUUAGCCAUGAAUACUCUAUUGAUUAGACUCAAACUUGACCCUUAACCCUUCCUUUCUACUAUAUCUGGUUAGUCACCAAGUCCUGUCGCACCUCCCACUUGGGGGUGUAUUUCAAAAUUAGCUCUUAAUUUCCAUUUCCAUCUUAUUCGUUCUUCGGCUCAGAUCCCAUCACCUCAUUUGUAGGCUGUUACCCUAAUAUACCAACUAGUCUAUCUUCACAUUUUUUUCUGUUUUUUUCUUGGGCGUCCUGUUCCAACUAAUAUUUAAAUACUUCCUUUUUUUGUUUCUUUUGCCUUCAGUGACUGCACAUGAUAAAGUUCAAUUUUCUUAUUCUAUCAUCCUGAGCCUCCCACACUGAGGCUCUUCCUAUUUUAUCUCUGCAAGGACCUACUCAAACCUGAGUAGUCUCUUCAUUGUACCCCAAACACGUUUUACACAUCACCUCCCAUGGUUCAUUCUUGUCCAAUGUUUACUGAGAAUCUUCUGCAUAAGCUAUGUGUUAGAUCAUAAGUAUUGAGAAAAGGACAAAAUAUUAAAAGACAAACUGAGCUCAAGGAGCUCAGCUUCCUGGGGAAGAAAAUAAAAUAAAUAAAAUAAGCUAUUUUAUUAGAGAGUGAAGAUAUUGCAUUAGGAUAAGAACAAGAUCCUGGAGGACCUCAGGGGAGGGAUAACCCUAGACUAAAUCUCACAUGUCCUUCUUUGAGUCACUUCCGUAUCUGGAGUUCAAUACUUUCAUGUUAUAAUUCUACAUCUACCAUAGUUUGCAAUCAUUUACCCUGACGUCAGAGAUAGACUCACACUUACCUCUGGUCCUAAAAACCCAGUUCAGUGACAGACCACCACACAUCAGCACACACAUCGGUGAGCAGUCCUGGGUUACUCACUCUGAGAGAGGUGCCAUGCUGAACAAUUUAUUCACACUUUCCCAAGUGACUUCCACAAUGUGGUAGGUAUAAUUCAUGUAUUACAGUGCCUCUGUUUUACACAGUGAUAGCAAAUAACUCACCCAACAACUAUUCAGUGGAGGAGCCAGGAUUAGAACCCCCAACAGUAUGAUGCCAAAGCCCACGCUCUUAAUUGCUUCCAAAUAUUAACAUAUAAAUGAUGUACUAAUGAAUGAAUGCAUGUUCCUCUCUCUCUGUAGAAGGUUUUUCUCCCUCUAGGACUUCACAAAGCCUGAGAACAGGUCAACCACAUGCAAACAUUAUUUUUCUUUCCCUUUAAAAUGAGAGCUGUUGAAGUGGGAUUGAUAAAAGUGAAAUUAGUCAUCCCAGGGAAGCCACAAGCUCCAGGCACAUCCAAGGUGCUGGGACAGAUGAGAAGUGUGCUGAGCUCUGAAGGCUGAUGCUGAAAGUGCUGGGAAUGGAGCCUACACAGUUACCUAGAGGUGAUCACUUUAUGUGUUCUGCAUUAUGUGACCAACAAAAUAAUGGAUCCAAGGUGACAACUGCAGCAGAGGCAGAUGGCUGCUUUCUGGAGGACUCCACGAGGGCUCUUUCCCUGGCCAAUCCAGCUGCCUUACUUUGUCCUCUCUACUGGGAGAUGUCUUCUCGUUCUUCUCCAGCUGCAAGCCCUUCAAGAGACUUUCAAGAAUUCAAGAGACAUUCAAGAAUUACAGGGGAGGAAGCUUGACUGUGCAGAGGGAAAAUGAGCUAUGCUGGGGUUGGCAGGAUUUGGUAGCUGUUCCUCCUUGGCCACUGUAACAGAGCAGGUUCAAAGUGAAGUACGACUCUUUUAAGUUUAAUGUCCUAAAGUCUUUCCCCUUGAGCUCAAGUACUUCUUCACCAAGUCACUUUCUAAAGGAGAGGAAUACUAUACGUCUGAAUCUGAUUUUUAAAACUCCAGAUUGCAGUCUGGAUCUCUGCAAGUUUCACAUUAAGGGACAAUAUUUUUGUGGCCCAUACAGGGACCAGAGGGGACCCCUAUUGGCUGUUAAGCAAACAGGUGUGGAACCCACAACUGAGUCCACUGAAUGCACUGCUUUUCUUGCCCACCCUGGAGUAUGAAGUUAUGUCUUUCUCCUGGAUCCAAGAUCACAUUCCUCUGCAUCUGAAGAUCUCCAGGCUUUAUUUGGGAUCUAUUUUAAGGUUUCAUCCUUUCUGUUUAAGGCCUUGUUCUGUAUGUUCUAUAGUUGUUUGACACUUUGGUCUGAUUUUGAGAAUAGACUGUUUUAACUGAAA
This 7136-nucleotide long non-coding RNA is filed under the name Sus scrofa (pig). Its description in RNAcentral is "lncRNA (ENSSSCG00055022721.1)". Lineage: Eukaryota; Metazoa; Chordata; Mammalia; Artiodactyla; Suidae. The record is from RNAcentral.